GAAACCUAUUUAAGGGAAGAAAAAGGGUUCGACUUCACCUGAACGGAAAGUAAAAGAGAACGUAACAUGCAUUGCCAAAGGAGGGAUUUGAAAAUAAUGCUGCAAAACAAAAUGAUGGAAACAAUGACUCAGAUGGGGAGUUGGCUGUAAAUCGAAGUGCUUUUAUUUCCUCUUUACUGAAAAUCAUUUUCAUAUAGGUCAAGCAAAUGUUGGAUUAUGUCCACACAUCCACAAUGGUAUCAUCAUGCCUAGCUGCUGUAACAGUUAUCAUCAUUUUGCCCUUUAAGUAUUUGUGUGCAGUAGAGAUGAAAGAGGUUAAACUUGGAGACGUGGUGACAAUAAUGUGUAACAACUCUUUCUACAAUGAAAUCCACUGGCUAAAGAUAAGCGUUGAAGGGCAGCCAAUCCCCCUGAUGGUCACAAACUUAAAACAUAAUGGAGAACUAUCUGUUGUCUGGAAUUUAGAGCCGACUCAUUUUGAAGGUAUUAAGGAUAGUCGGAUUAUAGGACUGAGAAUUUUUAAUGUCUCCACUAAUGAUCUUGCCACAUACUAUUGUGUGACUGUAAAUGGAAAACAGAUGAAUUUUGACGAAGGGCUGAAAUUAUACACAAUACAGGGCAAUGAGGAAGAACAGUCAUUUAACCUCGUGGAAGGAAAAAGUUUUGUUGGACAUUCUCCACAUUAUCAAGUAUUUGCAGCAGUGCUGAGUUUUGGCUUACUGGGAAUGCUGGUGGCUGUUUCUGUGGUGCAUAUGAAGGCCAGGACAAAAAACAAAAUUAAAAAUGAUGAUAUACAAAUUUAAUAAUAUACAUAAUAGAGAUACCAUAUCAGUAAACUUCUUCUUUAUUUGAAUAAUCUCAAUUACUGUCUGGUUCAUAUAAAUAAAUAAAUUAUUGCACAUUUUAAGUUGUCUUUUAUUUUUAGCUGUAACACUGUUGUAUCAUAUGAUUAUGCAUUUCAUAUUUUGAGUUAUUUGUGCAAGAUAAAAUGAA
This is a non-coding RNA of Paramisgurnus dabryanus, 993 nucleotides long. NCBI's taxonomy places the organism in Eukaryota, Metazoa, Chordata, Actinopteri, Cypriniformes, Cobitidae. The record is from RefSeq and is a predicted model, not a curated record.